GUGUCCACAAUAUAGGCACAUAUACUAAAAUUGGAACAAUACAGAGAAGAUUAGCCUGGCCCUGUGCAAGGAUGACGUGCAAAAUCGUGAAGCAUUUCUUCUGGGU
Small nuclear RNA from Pangasianodon hypophthalmus (striped catfish), 106 nucleotides. NCBI's taxonomy places the organism in Eukaryota, Metazoa, Chordata, Actinopteri, Siluriformes, Pangasiidae. The record is from RefSeq and is a predicted model, not a curated record.